AAAAUGCGUUGGGGAGAAACUACUGGUUUCUCUCCGGAUCCGGUGCGCAGGCUGGGCGCCGUCGCGGCCGGGCGCCCUCUUCCGCGCCCCAUCUCCCCCAACCUCCCCGCCACCCUCUCCCGCACGCCCUCUCCCCCGACCUCACCGGUGCCGCAGCUGAGGCUCCUUCGCGCAGGUUGCAGUCGCCGCCGCGCUCGCGCUCGCGCUCUCGCCGCUGCCUCCUCCCCCGACGGUCUGCGCUCGCGCUCUCACAACGGGCUCACCCACCUCCCGCUGCCUCCUCCCGGACGGCCGCCGACGACGCCGCGCCCCGGCCGGACGACACCCUGGGGUCCAGGUAUACGCCGGUAUACGCUGUAUACGCCGGUCUGCGCUCGCCUUCUCGGGCCUCCGCGCCGGGGACCUCCUCCCGCGCGCAAGGAGCAGGCAAGGCGCGGGGGCAGCAGGUUCUGGCGCGCGUCCGUGUGCGCCUGCUGAGCGUCCCACUGCCCGUCUGCAGUUGAGCACCUGCGCCACCCAAAAUCUCACCAAUUUCUCUGAUCAACCACGUUUGCAUAUGGAGUAGGAGGAAGCAGCUGAUCCGUCUUGGAUCUUGAGUUGAAGACUGAGAUUGUAUCGAAGCUUGUAGAAUCUAACCAAGGUGAAGAUGGCCGCAUAAUUUUGCAUGGAGAAACUUAUUGGCAAGCUAUUUGAAGCUAUCACUAAGCAAAAGUCGGAUCGUCAUACCCAAGCAGAACGGUGCAUCCAUCAUGGCGUCAUCUGAAGAUGAACUUGCUAGACGAUUUCGCAGAGAUCGAGAAAAUGGAGAUGGCGUCAGAUGAUCUGAAGGGCAAUGUGCCACGUGCAUAUCUGAAGAAGGCGGAUAUGGCACCGGUUACGCCAGAGAAGAGUGGCAAUGAUCCUGCAGAUAGUGUCAACUGUGCAAAGGAGGCUACAUGGUUGCUUGCCACAGCUGAUACACUCUUUUUAGUGCUGCAUUUAAGUUUUGAUUUGUGUAGAAACUGCUAUAGAAAUCAUGGACUGUGAAGGAUAGUUUCUACUCAAUAUUAAUAUUAAUUGUUCCUUUUCUCUCUUGGAAACUUCAUCUGGAAAUUAUCCAUUGGGACUGCCCUUAA
This is a long non-coding RNA of Setaria italica (foxtail millet), 1115 nucleotides long. RefSeq lists it as uncharacterized. Lineage: Eukaryota; Viridiplantae; Streptophyta; Magnoliopsida; Poales; Poaceae. The record is from RefSeq and is a predicted model, not a curated record. The transcript has 2 exons.